GUUGACCUCGGAUCAGGUAGGACUACCCGCUGAACUUAAGCAUAUCAAUAAGCGGAGGAAAAGAAACCAACAGGGAUUGCCCCAGUAACGGCGAGUGAAGCGGCAACAGCUCAAAUUUGAAAUCUGGCCCCAGGCCCGAGUUGUAAUUUGCAGAGGAUGCUUUUGGCGCGGUGCCUUCCGAGUUCCCUGGAACGGGACGCCAUAGAGGGUGAGAGCCCCGUACGGUUGGACACCAAGCCUUUGUAAAGCUCCUUCGACGAGUCGAGUAGUUUGGGAAUGCUGCUCUAAAUGGGAGGUACAUUUCUUCUAAAGCUAAAUAUUGGCCAGAGACCGAUAGCGCACAAGUAGAGUGAUCGAAAGAUGAAAAGCACUUUGAAAAGAGGGUUAAACAGCACGUGAAAUUGUUAAAAGGGAAGCGCUUGUGACCAGACUUGCGUCCGGUGAAUCACCCAGCUCUCGCGGCUGGGGCACUUCGCCGGCACAGGCCAGCAUCAGCUUGCCGUCGGGGACAAAAGCUUCAGGAACGUGGCUCCUCUCGGGGAGUGUUAUAGCCUGUUGCACAAUACCCUUCGGCGGGCUGAGGUACGCGCUCCGCAAGGAUGCUGGCGUAAUGGUCAUCAGCGAC
This 625-nucleotide ribosomal RNA is filed under the name Colletotrichum gloeosporioides. Its description in RNAcentral is "eukaryotic LSU rRNA". It matches the Rfam family "Eukaryotic large subunit ribosomal RNA", at positions 1 to 648 of the family's 3401-position model. The record is from RNAcentral. Lineage: Eukaryota; Fungi; Ascomycota; Sordariomycetes; Glomerellales; Glomerellaceae.